This 747-nucleotide non-coding RNA is filed under the name Cryptocephalus cynarae. Lineage: Eukaryota; Metazoa; Arthropoda; Insecta; Coleoptera; Chrysomelidae. The record is from RNAcentral.
AAAAAAUUAUGAUUUAAUUUGGGAAUUAGGUUAAUUUACUUUGUUUUUUAUACUUAAAUUGGUCUAUAAGAAGUUAUAAAUUAGUAGUGAUUAAUAUUAUUAGUCUGCGAAUGGCGGAAUGUAGCAAUAGUUUAAUAAUCCAACUAAUAUUUGUGCCAGCAGUUGCGGUUAUACAAGAGGAUUUACUUAAUUUUUAUAGUUAAUUAGUUAACUAAUUAAAUAAAUUUUUAAUAUUAUAUUUAAAGGUGAAAUUUCAAUAUAGGGUUUAUGUUUUUUGAUUAAGUGAUCUAGGAAAAUUUUAUUUAUAAACCAGGAUUAGAUACCCUGCUAUAAAAAUUGUAAUUAAAAUAACUGGAUUAGUAUUAGUUAAGUGCUUGAAAAUUAAAUAUCUUGGCGGUACUUUAACCUAUCAGAGGAACCUGCCCUGUAAUUGAUAGUUCACAAUUUAUUAUACUUUAAUAAUUGCUUGUAUAUCGUUGUUGUAAUGAAUAUUUUUAAAAAAAUUAAUUUUCUUUAAAUAAAAUUUUAUUUUAUCUCAAAUCAAGGUGCAGCUUUUUAAAGAAGAGGUGGGUUACAUUAAUAAUUUUAUAGUUGAAAAUUUUAUUUUGUUAGGAUUUGGUAGUAAUAUUAUUUAUUAAAAUUUUAUGAAUCAGGCUCUGAAGUAUGUACAUAUCGCCCGUCGCUUUCAUAAUUAUUUGAAAUAAGUCGUAACAUAGUGGAUUUAUCGGAAGAUGGCUCUAGAAUGGC